RNAcentral lists this ribosomal RNA (350 nucleotides) under uncultured Debaryomyces. RNAcentral describes it as "SSU rRNA". It matches the Rfam family "Eukaryotic small subunit ribosomal RNA", at positions 20 to 370 of the family's 1831-position model. Lineage: Eukaryota; Fungi; Ascomycota; Saccharomycetes; Saccharomycetales; Saccharomycetaceae. The record is from RNAcentral.
GUAGUCAUAUGCUUGUCUCAAAGAUUAAGCCAUGCAUGUCUAAGUAUAAGCAAUUUAUACAGUGAAACUGCGAAUGGCUCAUUAAAUCAGUUAUCGUUUAUUUGAUAGUACCUUUACUACUUGGAUAACCGUGGUAAUUCUAGAGCUAAUACAUGCUGAAAAUCCCGACUGUUUGGAAGGGAUGUAUUUAUUAGAUAAAAAAUCAAUGCUUUUCGGAGCUCUUUGAUGAUUCAUAAUAACUUUUCGAAUCGCAUGGCCUUGUGCUGGCGAUGGUUCAUUCAAAUUUCUGCCCUAUCAACUUUCGAUGGUAGGAUAGUGGCCUACCAUGGUUUCAACGGGUAACGGGGAAU